RNAcentral lists this ribosomal RNA (504 nucleotides) under uncultured bacterium. RNAcentral's name for it is "partial 16S ribosomal RNA". It matches the Rfam family "Bacterial small subunit ribosomal RNA", at positions 30 to 523 of the family's 1533-position model. The record is from RNAcentral.
AUUGAACGCUGGCGGCAGGCCUAACACAUGCAAGUCGGACGGUAGCGCAGAGAGCUUGCUCUCGGGUGACGAGUGGCGGACGGGUGAGUAAUGUCUGGGGAUCUGCCCGAUAGAGGGGGAUAACCACUGGAAACGGUGGCUAAUACCGCAUAACGUCGCAAGACCAAAGAGGGGGACCUUCGGGCCUCUCACUAUCGGAUGAACCCAGAUGGGAUUAGCUAGUAGGCGGGGUAAUGGCCCACCUAGGCGACGAUCCCUAGCUGGUCUGAGAGGAUGACCAGCCACGCUGGAACUGAGACACGGUCCAGACUCCUACGGGAGUCAGCAGUGGGGAAUAUUGCACAAUGGGCGCAAGCCUGAUGCAGCCAUGCCGCGUGUAUGAAGAAGGCCUUCGGGUUGUAAAGUACUUUCAGCGGGGAGGAAGGCGAUGUGGUUAAUAACCGCAUUGAUUGACGUUACCCGCAGAAGAAGCACCGGCUAACUCCGUGCCAGCCGCCGCAGUAA